Molecule: transfer RNA, 85 nt
Filed under: Chlorobiota bacterium
Lineage: Bacteria; Pseudomonadati; Chlorobiota
Description: tRNA-Tyr
Rfam family: tRNA
About the family: Transfer RNA (tRNA) molecules are approximately 80 nucleotides in length.
Source: RNAcentral
GGGGGGAUGCCGGAGUGGCCAAACGGGGUGGGCUGUAAACCCAUUGGCCGAAAGGCCUUCCCAGGUUCGAAUCCUGGUCCCCCCA